RNAcentral lists this transfer RNA (82 nucleotides) under Echinostoma caproni. It matches the Rfam family "tRNA". From Rfam's summary of the family: Transfer RNA (tRNA) molecules are approximately 80 nucleotides in length. Their secondary structure includes four short double-helical elements and three loops (D, anti-codon, and T loops). The record is from Rfam by way of RNAcentral. Lineage: Eukaryota; Metazoa; Platyhelminthes; Trematoda; Plagiorchiida; Echinostomatidae.
GGCUUCGUAGCUCAGCUGGUAGAACGUACGCGUACAAAACGUAGGCGGCGUCUGUGCGUGGGUUUGAAUCCUACCGAGGCUA